GGAGCGGCGUGAGGGUCUCGAGCGCUGGGGAGGGGCCGCUCCCGGGAGGGACUGGGUCCGGCUCGGGCACCGAGUCUGGGAAGUCUUGGGGCUGAGCACCCCAGCGGCUCCCCCGUGCUCAGGCCUUUCCCCAGACCCCGCUUUUCCCGCAUCCCCGGCACUGCCCGUGGGACCCUUCCUUGGCAUCGGGGCCGGGCUUGAGUCGCCUCCCGGGGCUGGGAAGGGCCAGGAGGGCGGCGGGGCUUGUGUGGUCCCGGCUGGAGAGCGGG
Molecule: long non-coding RNA, 269 nt
Organism: Pseudopipra pipra
Lineage: Eukaryota; Metazoa; Chordata; Aves; Passeriformes; Pipridae
Exons: 3
Source: RefSeq, a predicted model, not a curated record